AUACUUACCUGGCAGGAAGGUACCAUGAUCACGAAGUUGGUUUCCCCAGGCCGAGGCUUAUCCAUUGCACUCCGGAUGUGCUGACCCCUGCGGCUUCCCCAAAUGUGGGAAAUUCGACUGCAUUAAA
Small nuclear RNA from Tupaia belangeri (northern tree shrew), 127 nucleotides. Its record names the gene U1. It matches the Rfam family "U1 spliceosomal RNA". Rfam says of the family: U1 is a small nuclear RNA (snRNA) component of the spliceosome (involved in pre-mRNA splicing). Its 5' end forms complementary base pairs with the 5' splice junction, thus defining the 5' donor site of an intron. The record is from Ensembl. Lineage: Eukaryota; Metazoa; Chordata; Mammalia; Scandentia; Tupaiidae.